GCAACCAUAAAAAUCUCUCACUGAUCUAGGAUAGGUGAGCAAAUCCAAGGAGCAGAUAAAUUUUCAGCCCAUCAGUAGAUAUUCUUAGUGUCCAAGCUAAUCUUAUAUCAUCCAACACAAUACGAACACCUCAAACUUCUGAAUCUAAAGUUUCAACCUCGAGCUUUAUGUUUCUAAAUAAUUCUUGAACUGAGUUUGGAU
RNAcentral lists this long non-coding RNA (201 nucleotides) under Elaeis guineensis (African oil palm). RNAcentral describes it as "long non-coding RNA (EGUI_LNC027431)". The record is from RNAcentral. Lineage: Eukaryota; Viridiplantae; Streptophyta; Magnoliopsida; Arecales; Arecaceae.